GAGGGUGAUCGGCCACAUUGGAACUGAGACACGGUCCAAACUCCUACGGGAGGCAGCAGUGGGGAAUAUUGCACAAUGGGCGAAAGCCUGAUGCAGCAACGCCGCGUGAGUGAUGAAGGCCUUCGGGUCGUAAAACUCUGUCCUCAAGGAAGAUAAUGACGGUACUUGAGGAGGAAGCCCCGGCUAACUACGUGCCAGCAGC
RNAcentral lists this ribosomal RNA (202 nucleotides) under Clostridioides difficile. Its description in RNAcentral is "partial 16S ribosomal RNA". It matches the Rfam family "Bacterial small subunit ribosomal RNA", at positions 296 to 515 of the family's 1533-position model. Lineage: Bacteria; Bacillati; Bacillota; Clostridia; Peptostreptococcales; Peptostreptococcaceae. The record is from RNAcentral.